GUAGAUAUAGUUUAACAAAAACGUUAGAUUGUGAUUCUAAAAAUAGGAGAUAGAACCUCCUUAUUCACC
This 69-nucleotide transfer RNA is filed under the name Simenchelys parasitica (snubnosed eel). RNAcentral describes it as "tRNA-His". It matches the Rfam family "tRNA". Rfam says of the family: Transfer RNA (tRNA) molecules are approximately 80 nucleotides in length. Lineage: Eukaryota; Metazoa; Chordata; Actinopteri; Anguilliformes; Synaphobranchidae. The record is from RNAcentral.